UACGGAGGGUGCGAGCGUUAAUCGGAAUUACUGGGCGUAAAGGGUGCGUAGGCGGUUAAUUAAGUUAUCUGUGAAAAUCCCGGGCUUAACCUGGGCAUGUCAGAUGAUACUGGUUAACUUGAGUAUAGGAGAGGGCAGUGGAAUUUCCGGUGUAGCGGUGAAAUGCGUAGAGAUCGGAAGGAACACCAGUGGCGAAGGCGGCUGUCUGGCCUGAUACUGACGCUGAGGCACGAAAGCGUGGAUAGCGAACAGG
Molecule: ribosomal RNA, 253 nt
Filed under: uncultured bacterium
Lineage: Bacteria
Description: partial 16S ribosomal RNA
Rfam family: Bacterial small subunit ribosomal RNA
Source: RNAcentral